UACGUAGGGACCAAGCGUUGCUCGGAAUUACUGGGCGUAAAGCGCACGUAGGCGGAUUGUUAAGUCGGGGGUGAAAUCCUGGAGCUCAACUCCAGAACUGCCUUUGAUACUGAAGAUCUUGAGUUCGGGAGAGGUGAGUGGAACUGCGAGUGUAGAGGUGAAAUUCGUAGAUAUUCGCAAGAACACCAGUGGCGAAGGCGGCUCACUGGCCCGAUACUGACGCUGAGGCACGAAAGCGUGGGGAGCAAACAGG
Molecule: ribosomal RNA, 253 nt
Filed under: uncultured bacterium
Lineage: Bacteria
Description: partial 16S ribosomal RNA
Rfam family: Bacterial small subunit ribosomal RNA
Source: RNAcentral